GACGAACGCUGGCGGCGUGCUUAACACAUGCAAGUCGAACGGAAAGGCCUCUUUCGGGGGGUACUCGAGUGGCGAACGGGUGAGUAACACGUGAGUAACCUGCCCUUGACUUUGGGAUAACUUCAGGAAACUGGGGCUAAUACCGGAUAGGAGCUCCUGCUGCAUGGUGGGGGUUGGAAAGUUUCGGCGGUUGGGGAUGGACUCGCGGCUUAUCAACUUGUUGGUGGGGUAGUGGCUUACCAAGGCUUUGACGGGUAGCCGGCCUGAGAGGGUGACCGGCCACAUUGGGACUGAGAUACGGCCCAGACUCCUACGGGAGGCAGCAGGGGGGAAUAUUGCACAAUGGGUGGAAGCCGGAUGCAGCAACGCCGUGUGCGGGAGGACGGCCUUCGGGUUGGAAACCGCUUUCGCUCAUGACGAAGCUUUGUGUGACGGUAGUGGGUAAAGAAGCACCGGCUAACUACGUG
Molecule: ribosomal RNA, 467 nt
Filed under: uncultured bacterium
Lineage: Bacteria
Description: partial 16S ribosomal RNA
Rfam family: Bacterial small subunit ribosomal RNA
Source: RNAcentral